Molecule: ribosomal RNA, 683 nt
Filed under: uncultured bacterium
Lineage: Bacteria
Description: bacterial SSU rRNA
Rfam family: Bacterial small subunit ribosomal RNA
Source: RNAcentral
GAACGCUUUUGGGGUUUCGGCCUCAAGGGAGUGGCGCACGGGUGAGUAGCGCGUAGGAACCUGCCCUCUUGUGGGGGAUAACCGCGGGAAACUGCGGCUAAUACCGCAUAAGCCGGGUGCUCUGAAAGGGGCGGCCGGGAAAGAUUUAUCGCGAGAGGAGGGGCCCGCGUCCGAUUAGGUAGUUGGCGGGGUAACGGCCCACCAAGCCGGUGAUCGGUAGCUGGUCUGAGAGGAUGAUCAGCCACACUGGGACUGAGACACGGCCCAGACUCCUACGGGAGGCAGCAGUGGGGAAUAUUGGACAAUGGGCGCAAGCCUGAUCCAGCAAUGCCGCGUGAGUGAUGAAGGCCUUCGGGUUGUAAAGCUCUUUCGCCCGCGAGGAUGAUGACGUCGGCGGGAGAAGAAGCCCCGGCUAACUUCGUGCCAGCAGCCGCGGUAAUACGAAGGGGGCGAGCGUUGUUCGGAUUUACUGGGCGUAAAGGGCGCGCAGGCGGUUUUUCAAGUCAGGCGUGAAAGCCCCGGGCUCAACCUGGGAACGGCGCUUGGGACUGGAAGACUGGAGUUCGGGAGAGGAGCGUGGAAUUCCCAGUGUAGAGGUGAAAUUCGUAGAUAUUGGGAAGAACACCGGUGGCGAAGGCGGCGCUCUGGGCCGAGACUGACGCUGAGGCGCGAAAGCGUGGGGA